CCCAACACCAGAGAACUACGAACAAAAGUUUAAAACUCAAAGGACUUGGCGGUAUUUUAGACCUACCUGGAGGAGCUUGCCACCUAACCGAUAACCCACGAAAAACCUUACCAGCCUUAGCAACCAAACCAACCUGUAUACCAUCGUCGUCAGUCUACUCCACAAGGAAAGUAUACAAAAAGAAUUACCUUCACUACGUCAGAUCGAGGUGCAGUUUAUAGGCUGGGGGUGAGUGAGCUACAAUAUUAUAACAAAUAAAAUACAAUUACAGACAACUAAAUGAAAAAUAAGUUUGAAGUCGGAUUCAGCAGUAAUGUCUAACAGAAAAUAUACAUGAAAAACUACCUAGCU
Molecule: ribosomal RNA, 351 nt
Filed under: Aquilonastra coronata
Lineage: Eukaryota; Metazoa; Echinodermata; Asteroidea; Valvatida; Asterinidae
Description: 12S rRNA
Rfam family: Bacterial small subunit ribosomal RNA
Source: RNAcentral